This 253-nucleotide ribosomal RNA is filed under the name uncultured bacterium. RNAcentral's name for it is "partial 16S ribosomal RNA". It matches the Rfam family "Bacterial small subunit ribosomal RNA", at positions 524 to 776 of the family's 1533-position model. The record is from RNAcentral.
UACGUAGGGUGCAAGCGUUGUCCGGAAUUAUUGGGCGUAAAGAGCUCGUAGGCGGUCUGUCGCGUCGGAUGUGAAAACCCAGGGCUCAACCCUGGGCCUGCAUUCGAUACGGGCAGACUAGAGUUCGGUAGGGGAGACUGGAAUUCCUGGUGUAGCGGUGAGAUGCGCAGAUAUCAGGAGGAACACCGAUGGCGAAGGCAGCUCACUGGGACGGUACUGACGCUGAGGAGCGAAAGCAUGGGGAGCGAACAGG